CGCCCCGGUACCGUCUUGGCGGGCACGCUCGCGCCCCUCUCUAUGGUCAGCGCUUCCGUGUCUAUGGCCCGCCGCGGUGCAUUGUGGGUGCCUGGCGGAACUAUGGUGGCGGUGUAGGGCCCGGCUGCGCAGGGUGGAGGAGGCCGCGCUGAGUGAAGAUGACGACAGCAGCAAGGCCAACGUUUGAACCUGCAAGGGGAGGAAGAGGAAAAGGUGAAGGAGACUUAAGCCAGCUUUCCAAGCAAUAUUCUAGCAGAGAUCUUCCUUCUCACACUAAAAUCAAAUACAGGCAAACCACUCAGGAUGCUCCUGAAGAGGUGCGUAACCGUGACUUCAGAAGGGAGCUGGAGGAGAGAGAACGAGUUGCCGCAAGGGAAAAGAGCAGAGACAGACCAACCAGAGAACAUACAACAUCAUCUUCUGUGUCUAAGAAGCCUCGGCUAGACCAGAUUCCUGCGGCAAAUCUCGAUGCAGAUGAUCCUCUUACUGAUGAAGAUGAUGAAGACGAGGACUUGGAAGACAGUGAUGAUGAUGACACUGCAGCUCUUCUGGCUGAACUGGAAAAAAUCAAGAAAGAACGAGCUGAAGAACAAGCUCGAAAGGAACAAGAGCAAAAGGCUGAAGAGGAAAGAAUUCGGAUGGAGAACAUCCUGAGUGGUAACCCACUGCUGAACCUUACCGGGCCAGCACAGCCUCAGGCAAACUUCAAAGUUAAGAGGAGAUGGGAUGAUGAUGUUGUCUUCAAGAACUGUGCCAAGGGGAUAGAUGAAACAAAAAAGGACAAAAGAUUCGUCAAUGAUACUCUGCGAUCAGAGUUUCACAAAAAGUUCAUGGAGAAAUACAUCAAGUAGUACAGUUUUAUGUGCGGUAGCGCAGAAGGACUUGGAACCCCUCUUCAGUAUGACAGAUAGUUUUCAGCGAGGACAGUGGACCUGGCAAAGGCAAUUUGUUCCAGGAGGUGAAAUGGAAGAAAGUACAUGUUCAGCGUUUCAACAAAGGCAUUAUUUUGCAGUUCCUUGUGAUCAGGAUUGUUUAAUCCUGUGCUUUUGUAAGCACCACCUGAACUUAUGGUAACUGCAUCUGACCAGUAGCUCGACCAGAACCUUCUUGUCACUGAUUUUACCAAAACUUGUCAUUUCAAGUGGGAAGCUUUCAUCAAAAAAUCAAGCAAAGAAAAAAAGAAGCACAAAAUUCCUUGGAAUUCUAAUGUGCCUAGUACAGCUCUAAUGAAAAGAAAGGGUCAUGUAGGUCUAAACAAAUUACAUCUCCUAAUCCAAAUCCCAGUUUGCCACCAAGCCUAAGAAAUACAUCCUGAAGUAGAGGGAAGAAGCACUGUACAGGAGGUGAACAAAGAGAACAGAGAGGUCUGAUUGCUCUCUGUUGAAAUCAGUAUCAUCUGCAUAGGGAAGGAUUAUUUCUAAAUUGUAUUCUAGAAUAUAAUUUGAAAGACCACAACAGGCAUCUGUUAAUGAUAAGUUUUAUGGAAACAGAGACUGUAAAGCAGGCUGUAUUCUGAGGAGCUUAAAUGCUCAGAAGUCAGGGUGAAGGGCAGAAUGAAAACAGUGUUCAGUCCCACAAAAAGAUGUAUUUGGAUGCUGAGUAUUGAGCUCUUCUCCCCUUGGUAUCUGUGUUACUUACAAAUCUGUCACUCCAACCAGCUCUUGUCUCAGAAGUACUCUUGUGAAGAAAUUGGGCUGUUUCUGUUUUCUCUGAGUUGUUUCUAGUGGAUGGCAUUUCAAGCAGUUGGGCUUCCUCCAGUGGAAAAUGGUUUUUUUUCCUGCACUGGGGGAACAAGCUGUGAAUUUGAGUUGGAUGAGGGUGAAGGAUACAUCUGCCAGUUAGUCUGCUUAAUUCCAGAUGGGAUCCCUUGUGGUUGGUCUCUUUAUUUUGGGGCUGCUCAGUUGAAGUUGGUGGCACAUUGGGAUUGGUGGUGAAACCAGGCAGUAACCAAGGUUGUCCACACUGAACAGAGUGGAAGAAGCUGGGGUCUUGUUGGGUUUAUUUCUUCUGGUGAUGAGAACUGUCACUUGCAUGUCUGAAAGGACUGUGUUAAACCAACUCCUCCAAUUACUCCUCUUAACAAUAGAUGGUUCAGUGCAAGACUUAUUUUGGGUAGUGCAGCAUUAUGGUUUAUUUUAGAAGGUAAGACUUCAGUGGAACUUCUUUGCAGUUAGAAACUUGGAGGGCUGAUUCAUUUCACUUGGAGCACAGAUGAGCUGAUGGUAACAACAACAAAUCAUGUUUUCUGAGAGCUAUAGAAAUUAUUCAUAGAUGCUGAAAUCUCUAGCUGUUUUAUGCCUACCUUAUAUUUUAAUUUAUGCUUGCUUUUCAAACACCAGCUUUUAAAAAUGUAUAUUCUCUCUUUCAAUGCAUCCUCUUUUCAAGUGAGAGAAGGAGUAAUUUUAGACAAUUCUGGACCCAAAUAAUUUAAAAAACAUAAAAAGCAAAUAAAAGUCCUUCUUUAUGUAAUAUCCCUUUCUACCAUUUGUUCCAAUAAAGAAUAAAAGCCAGAUGGUGUUAUGUGGGUGUUAGAGCAGGGGAUGGUAAUCAGGGCUCUGGAGUCUAUUUGCAGCCAAGAUGGUGGCCUGGAUUUUAUUCCUCCUGAUGGACUUGUGUUGCAGAAUUUGUUACAUUCAUGGAGUUGGGCAUGAAGCAAAGGGGUGAAGCAAUGAUUUCAGCUCUGUUCUGAGGUGGGAGGAAAGCAGGGUUCAGGUUUUGGCUCUGCUUCAGCUUUUGUGCAUUUACAGGAGAGGCCCAGGCAUGUAAACUCUUCCAGUCCCAGCCCUGGAUCUGAGGAGAGAACAGGGUGCUGGCAUCCCAGCUCUGUUCCUGACAGAAGUGAGUGUACCUUUAUCCUUGUGGUGCUGAACCACUUGGAGCAAGACAAAGACCCACCUUAGAGCAUAAGGUGGUCACAAGAGACGUGCAGAAGACCUGAGUUAAUGUUUCUCAAGGCAGGGGCUAGCAGGAGAAGUGCUCAGCACUGGUCACUUGGGUAAGUUUGCUCUUUCCAGGUCAGACUCAUGCAGGAGGGUGGAGUUUGGGACAUGACUUUCGCUGCUGAGAUGCCUCUUAGCUCAGAUGUAGCUGCAGAGCAUGAGAGCAUGUCUGGAUCCAGAGUGAACAUGCCUUUGGCAUAAAGAUUUUCAAAGUCAGUAUUUUUCAUCAAUCAGCAGUGGUAUGUAUCAGAAACGUUUGUAGUUUUACUCUUCCUGUUAGUAGAAAGCUACUAGCAAUUUUUGAUUGCAAAUAGGAGCACUUAUGGGUAAAGCUUUUUUGUUCCUUACUGCUGUAGCCUUGCUGCCUCCUCUUCAGCAGUUACUGGUUUGGAGUGGGCUUGUUACUUAUUUUCAUCUUUUUUUUCCCCCCAAUAAAUACUCCUUGCCAAGAGUAUCAAAUCUGAGAACUGGAGUGAGUGUGUUGCAAGAAAAUGGAGAGAUGCCGCAAAGUGCCUUGGUACAAGGGAAUGUAAGGAGGGAUUUCACAGAAGUUCUGCUAGUUCUGCAUUGUUUCCCUGCACUCAGCUGGAGGGAAACACAAUGCAGAACUAGCAGAUACAAACAGUUAAAGAAAAAAGGUAAUAAAAUGGUGAUAUUGAGUAAAGGGAAUAGAUUUUGAGAUCUGUAGGCAAUAGAUUGGAAGGAGUGUGAUGGAUAAGCAGGAAAGGUGAGCAGAGUAACAUGGACAGAAAGGAGCUCCUCCCACUCCUGCAACGUGCUUUAGACAAAGGGGUGGUAACUCACUCAGUGGGACCAGGUGGACUUUGUCUGCUCUCCACGGCUCAGCAGCACUUGUUUCACUGCCCCAAAGAAUGGGGUUCAGACUCUCAGCACAGAUUGUUGCCCUUUUGACAAGCAGUGCAGGGGACUGUCAAAGGCUUUCCAAAGCACUCAGUGUCUGCGGGAAAACGCUGCACAACAUCUGAGAUUGUGAUCAGUUAGGAGCCAUCUGAAGGGGAGCUGGGAGAUUUUAAAGCUCCGAUUUCUGUCCUAGAAUGCUCAAAAAAGCCAGUGCUCUGAGAUGUUAAUCCUGUGACUGGCAUUCCUGUCUCCAGCAGGCACAGGGGGACAGCUCCUGCGUUCAGAAAAGUCUCUUCUAUUUAGAACUUCAGGCACAUUUUUCAUGUGGGGAAAAACCUUACUGCUGGUGAAAGAUCCAAGGAGAAAGCUGAUGUGUGGGGUGAAGGCUGUUGAGUGCUGGGAAAUAUUUGCUCUAGAGGGGUGUGUGAAAUUCCUCUCUAAAAUUGAAAUUAAUCUGGUCUCUGGUAGCUGUUUUGGGUCUGAACAGUUCAACUGGAUGAUGAUGCACCAGAGGACUUUGCACCCAGGGGUAUGUAAUAAACUAGUUUUCAAAUGCAUACCCAGUUCCCAUGAGCACACCAUCCCAUUUUCUCACUGCAACCUCAAAGCUUUUUUACCUGGAAAAACCUACAUUUGAACUGGCCUGGCCCCAGCCAGGGGUCACUGGGGGAAAACAGAAAAAUUUCCCUUAGCAUGAAUGUCUAGCUCAGUCUAGAAUCAAAUUCUUCAUACUCAAACUUUCUUCUGCCACUAGAGGUGGCCAGAUUUCUUUUUCUCCUUCAUCUUAAUUUUCUUGUUCCCUGUAAUGAACCAUAUUUUUUAUUAUGCUUAUUCCUAUUCUUAUUUUUUUGUUCUGAUUCCUGUACUUACCUUUUAUUUAUAGCCUUAUCAUAGGAUGGUUUGGAUUGCAAUGGACUUUUGAAGGCCAUCUAGUCCAACCCCCAUGCAAUGACAGCGUCCUUCUUCAACUAGAUGAGGUUCUUUCUCAUCUUAGUCUUAUUCCGCUUGCUCUCUCUCUUCAUCUGCUACUGCUGCGACUAUAAUUACUGUAAGUGCAAUACCCGUGGUAUUAGCUCAUCAUUAUAUCACCCUUCAGACCGAAACUCCCAUCCCAGAGCCUUCCCAGGGGGUUCAAGCCCCAGGUAAGAGCAGGCAGGAUGAGCCAGCAGAGGGAGUGGUUCCCACGCUGUUGUGCCAGCUGGCUUUGCCCAGGAGGUGGCCCAUGGCUGCUGGAGAACUGCCCAGGGGAGCUGUUGGUGGUGGACAGGGAUGAUGUAGGCUGGUGGUGUAGUCCUGUUCAGGGUCGGGUGAGGCUUCAGAGCCCUGGAGGCAGAAGAGCCAGCACACAGCCAUCUGGGUAACACGAUAAGGCACUCGUGGCAUCUGAAAAGAAAGGCACAGCCAUCUAAAAAAAGCCCUCUGGUGGAGAGUAGGCAUUAUUUAACACCUUAAGUGAACGGGCUCUGACCUGUGCACCAGAUUUAGGCUUGAGGAAUGUGUACAAUCAUUUCAUUUUAAAAGCAGACGUGCACAGAGCUGGCAUGCAGACAAUCAUCAUCAUCAUCAACAAAUAUCCUUACAUACAGCUUGAGAGUAUGAUUUGGGGCUACCCCACUGUGCAAGGCACUGUACAAGCACCUAGAUGUGAGUAGCCCUGUCCUCUUAAGCUGUUCAGUCUUUAAACUGAACAGUAAAAGUGGUGGCACACGAGAACCUGACCGCCUGGGCUUUCACUGCCUGUUUCUGGCAUGGUUGAGCUGGAAAAAGAUGUCAGAGGCAGCAGGGUAGGAUGUGCACUGAGAGGAUGAAAGCCAGAGCUACAAGAGGGUUGCUACAAGAAAACCCAUGAGGGAGUUUUUCCAAGGGCAUGUAGUGAUGGGACAAGGGGAAAUGGUUUUAAAGAGGAAAAGUUUAGACUGGGCAUAAGGAAGAAAUUCUGCACUGUGAGGGUGGUGAGAUACUGGCACAGGCUGCCCAGAGAAGUUGUGGAUACCCUGUUACUGGAAACCUUCCAUGCCUGGGGCUUUGAGAAACUUGGUCUCAUGGAAGGUGUCACUGCCCGGGGUAGGGGUGUUGGAACUACAUGUGGUCUUUAAAGUUCCUUCUAUGAAAUCAGAUGGGAUUUACACCAAGCAAUAAUUUUUUGCACACCAAAUUGCAUUGUAGUUUUAAUAGCAGGCCUACCAGAAAGGGUCAUCUUAAAAAUGACCUUAAAUUACUUAAAAUGACCAAGUAACUGGCCAAGCAAGAGGACCUCCACCUCCUCACACCUUACAACACCUUUCUCCCUCCUGGAGCUUCGUCCUGGCAGGACUUUUCCUACCCGAGCUGAUCAAGACCCAAAGCAGGACUGAAGGAGGGAUGUCAGCCGCCAUCACGGUCCCCUGUUAUUCUGAGCCCAGCUGUCCUGGAGGAAGCUUCACAUGUCUGGAGGGUCACUGGCUGUCCACCCUGCUUCUGCAGGGGACUGAGGGUGCUCCCAGGGCACACAGGCACCAGGGAAGCCAUGAUCAAGGAGUCAGAGUCCACCAAGCAGUUGGAGAAGCCACCACAAUGAUCAGGUGUGAGUACGACCUCCAGUGAGGUGGUGGCGGCACUGCCCUCCUCCAACUUUUAGCUUGCCAAAAGCUCCAUUGCUGCCUCAUCAUAUGGUACCAGGGAAAAAAAGUUUUCUUUCAGCACUAAACUUUGCUGCAGGUCUUCAGCCUCUCACAGGGCCUACACGGACUCACAUAAUUGCUGUCCUGUCAUAAUUGCUGCCCUGCUUUGUGUCAGACUGGAGGGCACUGGCACAGGACUGAGUUCUGGACUGCGGCAGGGCCAUGCAGGGUUACUCUGGAAAAUAUGCACACUGAUAUUUUGUUCAUCUGAAGCUGAAGUGGUAGGUAUGAAAGAAAAUAGCUUGUGGUCUUCAUACCUCGAGUCAAUGAAUUCCUGGGCCUUUUAUAGCUCAGGAAUGCUGGGCACUCGCGUUUGGUUUUACAAGGCUUCGAAGCUGUAGCUUAAGGUCUGGAUGAACAUUAAUCACAGUGGCACGAUGACAGCUGCUCGAGUUUUUACCCUCUCUCAGGUGGGACUGCACUAGCACAUUGUGCCCUGUUUUCCCCACUUGCUCUGGUUUGCAGCAAAGGGGGGUUACUGCCUUCAGGCCGACUUACCUGAGUCAGAGUGGUCGAGGAACACAGCAGGACGCUCAGACCAGCCCCAUUUGUUGGAUGGCAUCCAGACCCCAGGCUGGGGAUCCCGAUGACAAGCAUCCUUCCUGCCAGGGAGCGAGACCUGAACAUUUCACCUUUCACUGCAGUUUACUUUAAGUCCAGACCCAGAAGGUAUUGAAAGAUGUCAGAAAUCGCAGCUUUUCCCCAAGAAUGCACCUCAUUGCUGUUUGUAUGUUUGCCCUUCUCAAACUUUGGGAGGAGAAAGCCCUGAACAUGGUAACAAGCCAGAGCAGAGGAGAUGCCACAGCUGCACACUGCACCAAAUCCAAGUGACUCCUGAAAAGGUCUUGUCAUUUUGAAUGGGAAUAGAUUUUUGAAUGCUUCUAAAUGGCAAUCUUGCUAAUAUUUUUAGCUCUUCUAAACUUUCUUUACAUGAUGCAGGCCCAUUACUUACUUUUCGAAUAAUGGAUUUUAAUGUUUAAACAAACUGACCCUUGAAGUUUGCUUCUUUGCAUGUUUAUUCCUGACAUUAAUAUGCAAAAUAUAUUUAACCUGCAGACAGAGUUACAGUGACAUUCUUUAUUUUUGGCCAGAGCAUCUGUGCUGAAGACACAACCAAAAAAUGGAAUAAGCCCCCCCUCCCUGUUAUACCUGAACACAGCUGGCCAUGAGGCUUUUCCCAUCCUAAUACUGGUUUGGCAUCUGUUGAGUUCCUUUUCUUCCUUUUCUUCCAUGGCCUUGAAAAACAAGAUACGUGCCAAAUUUUACUGUCAAAUCUUGACUUGAAGGAAGUCAAAAAGCCACAGUCUCAACAAUCACCAAACUUUUGUUCUUGGCACAGGAAAUACUACCAGCUGCCAUGUCUUGAAGAAAGAGUGAUCAGAUGAGCCAGGCUGAUCUGUGCCUGCAUGGGGAACACACGGUGCCACGAUCUGGGUCAAGCAAACUUCUCAAGCUUCUGCAACUCCCCUGGAUCUUUGCUGACACACUCCUGCUCAGGACAGGUUGGUUCUUCAAUGUGUGCAAGGAUCUGGAGAGAAAAGGUUGGGACAGGCAGAGAAGAACUCACAAAAGAGAGAGGCCCUCUGUGGCAUUCAUGCCUUUCAUGCCUGCAGCUUCCUGGGAUCCGAUUCAGGAAUUUUUUAACAGACACUUUCAGAGCCUGCUGAGCAACCUCCCUAACUCAAAGCCAGACACUUGGCUAACUUUUGCUCCCUUCCCCCCAUUUAUUUCAGUUGCAUAAACAAACAUAGGAACAAUAUUUCCACCAGCCUGGAGCAUUCCCCUUGCCAGCACUACAGCAUGAAAUGGGAUCUGGUCUUUACUCCUUACAGAGCACAGGAUAUAAUUCCAGAACAUCUAGAUAUAAAAGAUAUUUAGGUACCUCACUCACACUGAUCCAACAUCUGUCAAAUAAAGAAGCCCCAAACCUUCCAGAAAAAAAAAAAAUCAGCAGGAGUUCUAUGCUUAGCAGGAACAUAUGGCUAAAGCAUAUUCAUAUCUUCACCAAAGUAUCUUAUUAAGUUUCUCCUCUCCUUUCCUUCCAGUGAAGAUGAUCUCACUAAAAUCAUCUUUUCUUGGUCAUCUCUAAAAUCAUGCUCUUCUUGCUUGGGCAAGCUCCCAGGUUGAUGCUCUGCCUUGGAGCCCCCCUGAUUUCCUGCCCGCAUACACCUACUGGUGUCCUGCUGUGAGGCCUUUCAUUAACACCUGUGAAAAAUGGAGAAGAUGGAACCUUAAAAGUCCCUGAGUCUCCCCUCUUAGUCUUAGCACAUUGUUUGCAAAGCUUAAAGGUUUUUUUUAAAGUCCUUUCUUCUGGAGGACUGAAUGUAUUCACACUGGAAAAGUGAGAAAAUAAACAUGUUUAUACAUUUAUUAUCUACAAUAAUAAGGCACAAAUUUAAACAGCAAAGAAUAAGAAAUCUUUGGCUGACCAACAAUAUCAAACAUUUGCUGGGGGUGACACAUAACGUCCUUCAUUUUCCCCCCUAUGUACAAAUAACCCUCCAGCUGUACAACACUGUACACAAACUUCUCUAUACAACCAACAACAAUAAAAAAAUGACAGUAUUUUACAACUAAUUACCACCAACAUCACCUGGAAUGGCUACAGCACGGUUUCCCAAUAACACAAAACAGUUCAAAGAGCUGGGAAGGCCAGCACAAAUGGAGCUGCGCCGCUCUGCUCAGCGGGGCUGACACAUGGCAGUAGUACUCCAUGCAAGUCCUGCAAGUGCUUGGGCUGGAGGGAGACACACCCGUCCUCCAGACUUUCCCUCCAGGAAAACUAACAUCUCUUGAGUUCAACACAAUAGGUGAGAAUGAACCUUUAGGUUUAUUUGAGCUGUUGCCUACAAUGAGAGUUGCCAAUUCGCUGUCUCAACAGUUUCCUGUAUGUGAUCGUGAAUCUGGGGCAGCAUCAAGUGUAAAGCCAGCUGUGGAUAGCAGAAACUGGAGACACUGUGAUCUUCCCAAGGAGGAGUGCUGUACUCUAGCUGACUUGGAAAAACAGAGCUGAACCACCAUCAAACAUAACUGAGAGCUGAUCCAUGCUGAUCCAGCACUGUUUCUCCUGGACACCUCACUGCCUGCACACAACUUACCAAAAAGUUUCAGCAUAAGAAAUAUUACAGCUGGUAACAAAAUGCUUAGGGACUUCCAAGUAUCUGGGUACUUUGAAUCCUUAUUUCUUGGAUAAAAAGUGAUGCAAUUAAAAAUUCACCAUCA
This is an RNA transcript of Prinia subflava (tawny-flanked prinia), 9682 nucleotides long. It is a transcript of the gene named CWC15 spliceosome associated protein homolog, with no coding region annotated. The record is from RefSeq and is a predicted model, not a curated record. Lineage: Eukaryota; Metazoa; Chordata; Aves; Passeriformes; Cisticolidae. The transcript is spliced from 9 exons.